GGCGCCGUAGCCAAGUGGUAAGGCAGCGGACUGCAAAUCCGUUAUUCCCCGGUUCGAAUCCGGGCGGCGCCU
This 72-nucleotide transfer RNA is filed under the name Isosphaeraceae bacterium. Its description in RNAcentral is "tRNA-Cys". It matches the Rfam family "tRNA". Rfam says of the family: Transfer RNA (tRNA) molecules are approximately 80 nucleotides in length. The record is from RNAcentral. Lineage: Bacteria; Pseudomonadati; Planctomycetota; Planctomycetia; Isosphaerales; Isosphaeraceae.